AAAAGGGAAAGGGGACAAAAGAACAGAAAGGGAGAAAAUCUGAAAAAUUGGGAAGGAGCUUCGGGGGGCCGGGGGAGGGGUGAAACAGAAGAGAGAGCAAGAGAAUACAGAGAGAGGUAGAGGGAACAAGACAGCAAAAUCUGGAAAUAAGGAACAAAAGGAAAAAAAAGAAACCGAGCAAGAAGGGAGAAACUGAGGAGGAAUUGCGGGCAAGAAGGAAAGAAAAAGGAGAAAAGACUUGGCGGAGGCAUUGAAGCUUGUUGCUAGUUCCGAAAUUCUUCCAUUACUACCUGCGAAAUUUCUCCGAAAGAUAAAGCACUGACGUGACGAUGAUCAAAGCCAUCCUUUGGGAGAAAACUUUUGAAGUUAUCUUUGCUUGAACUGGUGAGUAUUACUACCUCUGUUCUGUGUGUGGUGUUCGGGCCCGACAACAGGUAUGUUUGGUGGACGCAAUUUGAUAUCAAGUGGGGUCUACGGUCAUGUUUGUUUCCUCAAACAUUGAUGGAGCGUCAACAAGUUGGGAUCAAGUACUGCAACGGAAAUUUGGCUCUUGAGAGCAACCUGUAUCUUUUCUAUAUGAGGUGUUUGUUCAUUUCCUUAUAUGAUGUGUAUAUGUGUCUUAAAAGUAAAAUGCCAUAAUUCUUGACUACUUGUACUUGUGGUAUCUCAUUGAGCGUAAGUUUACCUCGUUCCCGUUAUCAUUGUUUUCCUUACAGGGAUCAAAAUUUUGAGAGUUAUGAUUUUUGAAGAAAGAGUCGAACUAGUGUAAACAUUCUUUUGAUUAUGCUCCUCUGUAGCCGAAAUCCUAAUUGUAUUUUAUAUACGUAUGGUUAUUAUGGCUUGUAUUUCAAGUUAACUUGUUGAAAACUCUGAUUUAUAUAUGUAUAUAACUAUGUAAUCAAGUGUUUCAAGCGUAUUUGUUUGACA
This is a long non-coding RNA of Coffea arabica (coffee), 927 nucleotides long. RefSeq lists it as uncharacterized. Lineage: Eukaryota; Viridiplantae; Streptophyta; Magnoliopsida; Gentianales; Rubiaceae. The record is from RefSeq and is a predicted model, not a curated record.